GAGUCAAUACAACUAAUCAUUUAAUGGGGACAGAGCGGAGUGUACGCGGAGCGAGGCAGGAGAGCGAGAGGAGCAGCUGCUGCCGCCGGACCGGGCGCUAUCACCUCCACCCCCCGACCGCCUGGACGCCUCCUACCGCUUCUCCCGCUCGGUCACAUCCGCGCCGAGCCUCCCUUGGACCCCGCCGCCGGAAAGUAGACGCCACUUUUCCCCCACUUCGCCCCGUUGUUUGAACGUGUCGAACCUGCUCCGACCUCCUGCCAACCCGCAUCCGCCGCGAGUUAGCACCGAGAGAAGCACGCUGUCUUUAUUAUUGUUGUUGUUGUUGUUGUUUUGGGUUUUUUUUGCCCGCCGGCGUUGCAGUUCGGUCCGUCGGCGAGGGAGGAACGCGGGGGUCGGUUCGGUGCGGUGUCCGUGGCCGGGUUUUUUUUUUUUUUUUUUUUUUUUUUUUUUUUUUUUCCUGAGCAGCUCCGGCGCACGGGUUGCCGAGCUUUUCACCCCCUUCCGCUGCUCCGCCUGCUAACCGCACCGCUUUCUCUUCGCUUCCCUCGCCGUCGCCGCUAAACCUCUCCCCCCGCUCCGUAACGCGUGCAUGUCGCCGGUCGCGGAGCUCGCAGCGCCCGCGUCGGCGGUGGAAGCUAACCGCGCGGGGAAGCGGUGAACGCAAGCGGCGAGAGGCGUACGAAGAGCAGCAGCGAGCGACGAGCGAGCGGUAUGUCACGGUCCGCGGUGCGUUCCCACUGACCGCGAAGAAGAAGAAGAAGAAGAAGAAGAAGCGUUCGCACGGAAGAACCGCCGUCCGCUGCCAUGCACACGUAAAAAAAUAAAAAACGGGAGAGGCAGCGCGAGGAGCCGGCCAGCCCAACCGGAGUUACUGUUUUUGGGGCUUGUUUGGGAACCUUUUUUUGUUUUCUACCCUGGCCAAACUUGAAGAAGAAGAGACGACGCGGUGCAGGUGGCGUUGUAUGCUCUCCAGUGCUGAAGUGCGGCGGCGUUUCAGGUGAUAUAAGCUGAGGAGCUGAGAAUGAUGGAACAUCUCAGCGAGACGUGUCUGGGCAAAGAGAACUCUGAGCUGGUGAGCGGCAUGGCAGAGGCCAAGGGCCCGGCGUCCAAAAUGGUGCGUCUGGAGAACGGCCCGUCUCUGCCCGGGGCCCCUCCGGCCAAACUGCCGCGCCUGGAGCAGAACGGGCCCAGCGCCCCGAGCGGACCGCCCGCCAAACUGCCACGCCUGGAGCAGAACGGGAGUCCCCUGGGGCGCGCCCGCCUCGCCAGCAACGGAGCCAAACUCUCCGGGAUCCCGUACAAGCCCAGCAACCACCUGCUCAAGUCCUGCCACAAGAGAGGUAACAUGCUGCCGGUGUUCUGCGUGGUGGAGCACUUCGAGAACCCGCUGGACUUCGACAGUAAAGAGGAGCACGCCGAGUUCGUCCUGGUCAGGAAGGACAUGCUGUUCAACCAGCUGAUCGAGAUGGCUCUGCUGUCUCUGGGCUACUCCCACAGCUCCGCCGCUCAGGCCAAAGGCAUGAUCCAGGUGGGGAAGUGGAACCCCGUGCCCCUGUCGUAUGUGACCGAUGCCCCUGACGCCACAGUGGCCGACAUGCUGCAGGAUGUUUACCACGUGGUCACGCUCAAGAUCCAGCUGCACAGUUGUCCUAAGCUGGAGGAUCUGCCGCCCGAGCAGUGGAGCCACUCCACAGUAAGAAACGCCCUCAAGGAGUUACUCAAAGACAUGAAUCAAAGCUCUCUGGCAAAAGAAUGUCCCUUAUCACAGAGCAUGAUUUCCUCCAUCGUGAACAGCACUUACUAUGCAAAUGUGUCGGCCGCCAAGUGUCAGGAGUUUGGACGCUGGUAUAAACAUUUCAAGAAGACAAAGGAUAUGAUGGGCAUGCGCCAACCCUCCCAGCUGGAGGGCUACCUGGGGACGUGUGUCCUCCGAGAGAGCCCGCGUGCCAAUGCACUAGACAUGGACGGUCUGGCAGACUUGUCUCCUCCGGGCUCCAACCACAACCACCUGAGCUUCUCGCAGCAGCAGCAGCCCAUCCCGGGCAGCACGGCGGAGCAGACGCCCUCGUCCCCCGUCCCGCCCCUGUCCCACGCCCCGCCCUCUCACGGCGGGCAGGGCGGCGGCCGUCAGCCCCAGAUGCCCGGCCUGCACCACCCGGGGCUGGUGUCCGCGCCCAUCAGCCCGCAGCUGGUCAACCAGCAGCUGGUCAUGGCUCAGAUCCUGAACCAGCAGUACGCCGUCAACCGCCUGCUGGCCCAGCAGACCCUGUCCCAGCAGUACCUCAACCACCCCCCGGUCAACCGCAACCACACCAAGCCCCUGGAGCCUCAGGUCGCCUCCAACACCGACGUGUCCUCAGAGAUUUACCAGUGGGUCAGGGACGAGCUCAAGAGAGCCGGCAUCUCCCAGGCCGUGUUCGCACGAGUCGCCUUCAACAGGACGCAGGGGCUGCUCUCCGAGAUCCUGCGCAAAGAGGAGGACCCGAAAACCGCCUCCCAGUCGCUGCUGGUGAACCUCCGGGCCAUGCAGAACUUCCUCCAGCUCCCGGAGGCCGAGCGAGACCGGAUCUACCAGGAGGAGCGCGAGCGGAGCCUGACCGCCGCCUCCGCCAUGGCCUCCGCCCCCCUCAUCAGCACGCCCCCCAGCCGGCCCGUGCAGCCCUGGCGGGAGGAGAGCGUUCGGCCGGACGACUGGAACCCGCGGAUCCCUGUGGGCAUCUCUCCUGUGAGCACCUCCCCCGUGCACCUUCACCCCCCCAGACGCCCAGUGAAGCCCUCCACGCUGCCCAGCGAGUGGAACGGGAAGACGGAGAACUGCCUGGUGAACAUCAACUCCACCAUCUACGACGAGAUCCAGCAGGAGAUGAAGCGGGCCAAGGUCUCCCAGGCGCUCUUCGCUAAAGUGGCGGCGUCCAAAAGCCAGGGUUGGCUGUGUGAGCUUCUGCGUUGGAAGGAGGACCCGACCCCCGAGAACCGCACGCUGUGGGAGAACAUCUCCACCAUCCGCCGCUUCCUCAACCUGCCCCAGGGCGAGCGCGACGCCAUCUACGAGCAGGAGAGCAGCGCCAUGCAGCAGCACCACAGCGAGAGGCCCACGCACCUGCUGCACCUGUCGCAGGACCAGAUACAGGCCCAGUCCCAGAGCCAGCACCCGCCGCCCCUGUCCCUGCAGCUGCCCCCCCAGGCCGUCCUGCCCCAGCCCGUGCUCCCUCAGCCGCCCCUCCAGCCCCAGCAGGGCCCGCGCCUGCCGCCCCGCCAGCCCUCCACCGGCUCCCCCGCCGAGAGCCCCGAGGACUCCGAGGGCUCCAGGGCCUCCAACAAGCCGCGCUCGUCCGGGGCCAAGAUCUCCCUGGAGGCCCUGGGCAUCCUCCAGAGCUUCAUCCAGGACGUGGGGCUGUACCCGGACGAGGAGGCCGUGCACACCCUCUCCGCCCAGCUCGACCUGCCCAAGCUCACCAUCAUCAAGUUCUUCCAAAAUCAGCAGUUCUACGUCAACCAGCCCACCAACCACAAGGGGGCGGCGUCCGGCAAAGAGCCCCGCCCCCACAGCACCAGCAGCAGCGCCGGCUCCAGCCCCGCCCUGGAGGAGGAGCUGACGGACUUCAGGGAGGUGAAGGAGCUGGACGAGAGCACCCAGACCGACCACAGCAACGUGUUCAGCGUGAAGAUGGAGGAGGGGCGGGGGAGCGAGGGCCAGCCGGAGAGCGAGCACAGCCCCGAGUAGAACCCGCGGGUCACCGGAGCAGAGCGGGUCAGUGCGGGAAACAUCUGACCAGAAGAUGUUUAGAUCUGUAUCGGCAAAGCACUUACGUUUAAAACAUGUUUCAUACAGAGACAAUGAAGCAAAAAGCACUGGAGCGACGAGAGUUUGACUGUAGCAGACGCACGGACGCCGGCCUGACCUGAGCUGACCUGAGCUGACCUGAGCUCCCGUGGGACCAGAGCAGGAGCACAGACACUGGGGCCUCCUGUAGUAUUGUGUAUUAUGCCUGUACAGACUGAAGCUCACGAAACACUGCACCACGUCAUGCUGUGGAUGUCCCCCUUUUACACUGACGCUUCACUUUUUCACACACUGAGUUCACCGAUUCUACUGAUUUCACUGAUUCUACUGAUUUCACUGAUUCUACUGAGUUCACUGAUUCUACUGAGUUCACCGAUUCUACUGAUUCCACAGUCCUGCACUUUGUCGGGGCGGCCAUAUGUGUUUGUGAUGUCCAACCAGACUUUUUUAAAACAGAAAAUGAAUUCAAAAGGACCGAGUAGUUGACCAGGCCUUAAUCAUGAGGUAAAUGUGGAGCCUGCUGGAUCACCGUGGACAGCUCACUCUUUACAUGUUUGUUAGGAAAGAAAUAUAAAUAUAUAUAAAUACUUAUAAAUAUAGACAUAUAUUGUAACUGUAAAAUACAGUCUUAAAGAAACUAUGCCAACAAAUGCCUUGUACUAUACGGCACUGCCGAGGUUACAUUCUUUUGCAAAACCUUUGUCACUGUAACUUUACAGCAGCUUAUGGAGACUGGUGGAAACGCACAUCCAGAAUGAGAAUAAAGAAGUCCGCCCAGCGCACACAGGGGACAGGGAGAUGUUCAAUCAGUCACAAACCGUCUUUUCUGUGGAUGAACCGAGGAUAAGGCCAUGUGCACUCGCCUGACGACAGGUGAAAAGGUCCAACGUAAACUCAGAUUCACUCACUGCGGUUACAUGCACAGAGAACAAUCACACGCCCAUCAUCUUCAAACAAACGCUCUCAGACGCUUGUCCCGGUCUGCAGCAGGUCCAGUUUACAGUAGGUCCAGUCUAGAGCAGGUCCAGUCUAGAGCAGGUCCAGUCUAGAGCAGGUCCAGUCUUGAACAGGUCAAGGAACCCAGUAAGUACGACUAGGGGACUACGAGGCGUUCAAGUGCUUCUAGUUAUUUAACCUUCGCUCUAAAACUUUGCAGCUAUAAUUAUAAAUAAAAACAGUUAUCGAACAUAUAAAACGAUGUAUAACUUUCAGCGAAAAAUGAGAUAAACAACAUCUCAUCACGUUGAGAAUUAGAUCUUCAGACGAGCUACGAACUCUGUUACUCACAAGUUCUUCACAACACAAAUGAACACGAAGCUCCAGAAGCUUUGACUUUUUACUUUACUUUUUUAAAACAUAGCGUCCAAAACAACGAACUGAAACCAAAUUUAAGAUCUAAACACUUAAAUCUAUCAGAAAAUUCAUUUUACUUGACGAGUUAUCUCAAAAUAAACGACCUCUAGACUAGAAUUAAACGUCUCAGAACUAGUAAGUAGUGAAUAAAUCUGAAAAAAUUUAAUGUAUGUCUAAUAUUUUCCGGACGAUUUCUUACGUUGUGCAGUUGAACGCCUCUCCUAGUCCGAGUCUAACGUAAAUCCGACUUUGCUGUGACUUGCUGCCGGUGUCUCCGAGUUCUACAAACUUCUCCAGACGCUUUUGAAAGCCGCUUCACGACAUCACAAUCAGAUCUGAAAGUUUAUAAAGUUUGGUUUAAAUUGGACGAGGCCUGUUUCCCCGUUUCCCGUGUUUUUUCUCGGUGUGCAUGUAAACGUAGUGAGCGUUAAACCGGCGAGCUUCGAGGACGUACAAUCAGAUCUCAGACUAUUACUAUGCAAAACCACCACACAGACACCGCACGAUGGACCCGAUGCAACGUUACCACAGAUUUUUAUGGCACAGCGCCGGGCAGCCUCAUCUUAUUUUACGAUAAUAUCCCUCUGUCCAUGUACCAUGAACCGUAGACUGUAAAUAGAAAUGGACGAAGCGAAAACGCAAAACCGCGAAUCUGAUUCUAAUUCACGUUUAAUUGGAAAAAACGUCGCUUUCUCUGUAACUGCUCCUGUCAAAUCUGUGUGUCGUUCGUUUAUUCGUUUUUCAAAAUAAAACCAAAAAUAAGAAAAUGAAAAAACAACAAUUUUCUUUAUUAUUUGCCUCCAAAACCAAAAUGAAAAAACGAAUAACGAUUCAUUUUUUUCAGUUUUUCAGAAUUUGUGUUUAAAUGAAAAAUGGAAAAAACAGACAUUUCCUGUUUACGUGACUUAAACUGCGAUGUCGGACUGAACCAGGACUAAACCAGGACUAAACUGUUUCAGUCCUGGUCUGAUCCCGGUGUCAGUCCCGUUCUGGUCUGUUCCUGGACUGGUUCUGGUCUGGUCCCGGUCUGGUCCCAGUCUCAAUCACGGUCUCAAUCACGGUCUGGUCCUGAUCUGGUCUCGACCUCAGUCCCGGUCUCAGUCCUGAUCUCAAUCACGG
Boleophthalmus pectinirostris (great blue-spotted mudskipper) is the source of this 6259-nucleotide RNA transcript. It is a transcript of the gene named DNA-binding protein SATB1, with no coding region annotated. The transcript is spliced from 14 exons. The record is from RefSeq and is a predicted model, not a curated record. NCBI's taxonomy places the organism in Eukaryota, Metazoa, Chordata, Actinopteri, Gobiiformes, Gobiidae.